RNAcentral lists this ribosomal RNA (206 nucleotides) under Klebsiella pneumoniae. RNAcentral's name for it is "partial 16S ribosomal RNA". It matches the Rfam family "Bacterial small subunit ribosomal RNA", at positions 495 to 700 of the family's 1533-position model. Lineage: Bacteria; Pseudomonadati; Pseudomonadota; Gammaproteobacteria; Enterobacterales; Enterobacteriaceae. The record is from RNAcentral.
GGCUAACUCCGUGCCAGCAGCCGCGGUAAUACGGAGGGUGCAAGCGUUAAUCGGAAUUACUGGGCGUAAAGCGCACGCAGGCGGUCUGUCAAGUCGGAUGUGAAAUCCCCGGGCUCAACCUGGGAACUGCAUUCGAAACUGGCAGGCUAGAGUCUUGUAGAGGGGGGUAGAAUUCCAGGUGUAGCGGUGAAAUGCGUAGAGAUCUG